UUCCGGUUGAUCCUGCCGGACCCCACUGUUAUCGAGAUGGGACUAAGGUAUGCUAGUCGAACGACCAGAACUAUGUCUGGAAGUGGCACACUGCUCAGUAACACGUAGCUAACCUACCCUUAGGACGUGGAUACCCCCGAGAAAUUGGGGUUAAUCCGCGAUAGAUGUAAUGUCCUGGAAUGGUAUUACGUCUAAAGGUAUUUCAUACAUGUUUGAAAUAUGCCUAAGGAUGGGGCUGCGGCCGAUCAGGCUGUUGGUGAGGUAAUGGCUCACCAAACCUUUGACCGGUACGGGCCAUGAGAGUGGUAGCCCGGAGAUGGACACUGAGACAAGGGUCCAGGCCCUAAGGGGCGCAGCAACCGCGAAACCUCCACAAUGCACUCACGUGCGAUGGGGCUAUCUCGAGUGCCACCUGAUGAAGGUGGCUUUUCCUUGGUCUUCAAAGCCUUGGGGAUAAGAGGGGGGCAAGACUGGUGUCAGCCGCCGCGGUAACACCAGCCCCUCGAGUGGUGGGGAUGAUUAUUUGGCCUAAAGCGUCCGUAGCCGGCCGUGCAAGUCUUCCGUUAAAUCCAGCGUCUCAAGCGUUGGACCGCGGGAGAUACUACACGGCUAGAGAGUGGGAGAGGUCAGCGGUAUUCUGGGGGUAGGGGCGAAAUCCUUUGAUCCCCGGAGGACCACCAGUGGCGAAGGCUGCUGACUAGAACACGUCUGACGGUCAGGGACGAAAGCUGGGGUAGCGAACCGGAUUAGAUACCCGGGUAGUCCCAGCCGUAAACGAUGCAUGCUAGGUGUUGGGUUGGCCACGAGCCACCCCAGUGCCGCAGGGAAGCCGUUAAGCAUGCCGCCUGGGAAGUACGAUCGCAAGAUUGAAACUUAAAGGAUUUGUCGGGGGAGCACACCAGGCGUGAGCCUGCGGUUAAUUGGAUUCAACGCCGGGA
RNAcentral lists this ribosomal RNA (938 nucleotides) under uncultured archaeon. RNAcentral describes it as "bacterial SSU rRNA". It matches the Rfam family "Archaeal small subunit ribosomal RNA", at positions 1 to 923 of the family's 1478-position model. The record is from RNAcentral.